CCGCCCGCGACCUCCUCCACUCCGUCCACCACGGCAGCAAGAUCUAUCAGGCCAUGCGAGGCCGGGACAGCCUCCUCCGCGAAUUCGCCGCCGUCAACGAGCGGAUCCAGGCCGCGCUGGACGAUCUUCCCUACAACGACUUCGACAUGCCCGAGGAGGUGCAGGAGCAGGUGGCGCUGGUGCACUCGCAGUUCAAGAGGGCGGCGACGAGGGCGGAGCC
Long non-coding RNA from Aegilops tauschii subsp. strangulata, 220 nucleotides. RefSeq lists it as uncharacterized. The record is from RefSeq and is a predicted model, not a curated record. Lineage: Eukaryota; Viridiplantae; Streptophyta; Magnoliopsida; Poales; Poaceae.